This 467-nucleotide ribosomal RNA is filed under the name uncultured bacterium. RNAcentral describes it as "partial 16S ribosomal RNA". It matches the Rfam family "Bacterial small subunit ribosomal RNA", at positions 28 to 507 of the family's 1533-position model. The record is from RNAcentral.
GACGAACGCUGGCGGCGUGCUUAACACAUGCAAGUCGAACGGAAAGGCCUCUUUCGGGGGGUACUCGAGUGGCGAACGGGUGAGUAACACGUGAGUAACCUGCCCUUGACUUUGGGAUAACUUCAGGAAACUGGGGCUAAUACCGGAUAGGAGCUCCUGCUGCAUGGUGGGGGUUGGAGAGUUUCGGCGUUUGGGGAUGGACUCGCGGCUUAUCAGCUUGUUGGUGGGGUAGUGGCUUACCAAGGCUUUGACGGGUAGCCGGCCUGAGAGGGUGACCGGCCACCUUGGGACUGAGGUACGGCCCAGACUCCUACGGGAGGCAGCAGUGGGGAAUAUUGCACAAUGGGUGGAAGCCUGAUGCAGCAACGCCGUGUGCGGGAUGACGGCCUUCGGGUUGUAAACCGCUUUCGCUCAUGACGAAGCUUUGUGUGACGGUAGUGGGUAAAGAAGCACCGGCUAACUACGUA